AAACUGCGAUAAGUAGUGUGAAUUGCAUUUAGUGAAUCAUCGAAUCUUUGAACGCACCCUGCACUCACUGGUAUUUCGGUGAGUACGCCUGUUUCAGUAUCAUUGAAAACACACAAUCAAAACAUUUUCUUUGGUUUGAUUGGCUUUGGGUCUAUCAAAAAGUUUGGCUUGUUUCUUACAAGCCAAGCGGCCUGAAAUAUAUUGUCUGGCUAAUUGCAUCGUUGAUGAUCGCUAUUAGACUUUGGCUUUUUUAAAUGAACUGGAGGUUGAUUAACCAGUUUUAGCUUUAGUCAAAUGGUCAUUGUAAAAAAAAUCUCGAUCUUGGCUAGGUGUUUAUAGCCGAAAAUUUUUUUUUGGCUAUAACCGAAACCAAUAUAAUCACAUUUAGUUAUCGAUCUGAAAUCAGGUGGGACUACCCGCUGAACUUAAGC
Molecule: unclassified non-coding RNA, 431 nt
Filed under: plant metagenome
Description: partial contains 5.8S ribosomal RNA, internal transcribed spacer 2, and large subunit ribosomal RNA
Rfam family: 5.8S ribosomal RNA (bases 1-102)
Source: RNAcentral